GAUGAACGCUGGCGGCGUGCCUAAUACAUGCAAGUCGAGCGAACAGACGAGGAGCUUGCUCCUCUGACGUUAGCGGCGGACGGGUGAGUAACACGUGGAUAACCUACCUAUAAGACUGGGAUAACUUCGGGAAACCGGAGCUAAUACCGGAUAAUAUAUUGAACCGCAUGGUUCAAUAGUGAAAGACGGUUUUGCUGUCACUUAUAGAUGGAUCCGCGCCGCAUUAGCUAGUUGGUAAGGUAACGGCUUACCAAGGCGACGAUGCGUAGCCGACCUGAGAGGGUGAUCGGCCACACUGGAACUGAGACACGGUCCAGACUCCUACGGGAGGCAGCAGUAGGGAAUCUUCCGCAAUGGGCGAAAGCCUGACGGAGCAACGCCGCGUGAGUGAUGAAGGUCUUCGGAUCGUAAAACUCUGUUAUUAGGGAAGAACAAAUGUGUAAGUAACUAUGCACGUCUUGACGGUACCUAAUCAGAAUGCCACGGCUAACUACGUG
This 497-nucleotide ribosomal RNA is filed under the name uncultured bacterium. RNAcentral describes it as "partial 16S ribosomal RNA". It matches the Rfam family "Bacterial small subunit ribosomal RNA", at positions 28 to 507 of the family's 1533-position model. The record is from RNAcentral.